AAUAAGUGCAGUUUUGCACUAUUCAUGUUCAACAUUUGACUGUUCGUCUUAUUUGAAAAAAAUUUAUGAUUAGUAUUUUUAUUGCUAUUAGAUGAUAAAACAUGAAUAGUAUUUAUGUGUGACUAAAUAUUUUCAAAUUUUUUAAAUAAGACGGACGGUCAAACGUUGGGCACAGAUAUCCACGGCUGCACUUAUU
This 196-nucleotide microRNA precursor is filed under the name Oryza glumipatula. RNAcentral describes it as "MIR812 microRNA precursor family". It matches the Rfam family "MIR812 microRNA precursor family". The record is from Rfam by way of RNAcentral. Lineage: Eukaryota; Viridiplantae; Streptophyta; Magnoliopsida; Poales; Poaceae.